This 254-nucleotide ribosomal RNA is filed under the name uncultured bacterium. RNAcentral's name for it is "partial 16S ribosomal RNA". It matches the Rfam family "Bacterial small subunit ribosomal RNA", at positions 526 to 779 of the family's 1533-position model. The record is from RNAcentral.
CGGAGGGUCCAAGCGUUAUCCGGAAUCAUUGGGUUUAAAGGGUCCGUAGGCGGGCUUGUAAGUCAGUGGUGAAAUCUCCCGGCUCAACCGGGAAAUUGCCAUUGAUACUGCAAGUCUUGAAUUAUUGGGAAGUAACUAGAAUAUGUAGUGUAGCGGUGAAAUGCUUAGAGAUUACAUGGAAUACCAAUUGCGAAGGCAGGUUACUAUCAAUAUAUUGACGCUGAUGGACGAAAGCGUGGGUAGCGAACAGGAUU